Molecule: ribosomal RNA, 438 nt
Filed under: uncultured bacterium
Lineage: Bacteria
Description: partial 16S ribosomal RNA
Rfam family: Bacterial small subunit ribosomal RNA
Source: RNAcentral
CUACGGGAUGCUCCAGUGAGGAAUAUUGCACAAUGGGGGGAACCCUGAUGCAGCAACGCCGCGUGGAGGAUGACGCAUUUCGGUGUGUAAACCCCUUUUAUAUGUCAAGAAAAUGACGGUAGCAUAUGAAUAAGCACCGGCUAACUCCGUGCCAGCAGCCGCGGUAAUACGGAGGGUGCAAGCGUUACUCGGAAUCACUGGGCGUAAAGGACGCGUAGGCGGGUUGGAAAGUCAGGUGUGAAAUCCUACAGCUUAACUGUAGAACUGCACUUGAAACUUCUAAUCUAGAGUAUGGGAGGGGGAGAUGGAAUUAGUGGUGUAGGGGUAAAAUCCGUAGAUAUCACUAGGAAUACCUAAAGCGAAGGCGAUCUCCUGGAACAUUACUGACGCUAAGGCGUGAAAGCGUGGGAGCAAACAGGAUUAGAUACCCCGGUAGUC